RNAcentral lists this unclassified non-coding RNA (215 nucleotides) under Hevea brasiliensis (rubber tree). Lineage: Eukaryota; Viridiplantae; Streptophyta; Magnoliopsida; Malpighiales; Euphorbiaceae. The record is from RNAcentral.
AGAAAAUGGAGAGGGAAUUAUCGGUAGAUACUUUCUAGGACUCAGAAGUUAUUCCAGUGCUAUAAAGGAUUAUAUCAUGUGCACUUUAAUAACAGGGACCAGUGGAGAACGCGAAAAACAAAAUAAAAACCAACACAUCCCCUGAGUAAAAUGUUCAUCGAUUAAAUGAGUUUCUAGUGCCUAUAAACUAGUCUCAUCCAAGAUUUACAGGCUUU